CUGAGAGGUGCUCCAUGCUGCUGCCUCACUGGAUCAUCUGGCAGGUACUGCUGAGGCCUACUCAGUGAGUGACCACACUCAAUGAGCCAUCAUGAUGGAGGCUUCUCCGAGAGCACUCUCUCAAUCAAGAGUUCCCAUCUCAGGAUCUGCUCCUACAAGACCCAACUUAGGAUAGUAAUGAUGUUUAUCACUUAUUUAGUGAAUAUGUGUCAAGUGCCAGACAUGCCUACAUUCAACAUGCAGUGGCAAACAAGACAAACAUUUUACAAGACAAACAUUUUACCCAGUUUCACAGGGCUCAGAGGCUUGUGGUCUCACUAGUGUUAUUUACUAGGUAUUUUAUUAAUCAAAAAUGAUAGUAGUUUGUAAAAAUACCUUUGUUAAUGUCAUAAUUAUUCUGACAUUAGCUUCUGAAUUUAUGGUAAUCUGAUCAUAGAAUAUGUCAUAUAAGAUCUGCUUUAGGAAAAAUGUAUUAGGAGCUUAAAACAUUUCAUACGUAUUCUAGAAAUAUUCAGAGAGAAAGUAUAUUACCUGACUCCUCAACCUGGUUUUUACCAUACUUUUCUAGUCUUGUUCCAUAUAUUAUGGGAUCCUUGGGGUGUUGCUUCACCAGCCAGGAGCCACUGUGGACAGUGGUGCCUUUGCCUGAGUUUUCUUCAGGCCCACUGGGCCCACUCAACCUGGUGGACUGUGCUUGGUUUGCGCUACUGGCCUGGAUCCCAUGCCUGCCAAGGGUGAGUGGAGUGCUGAGGGGUAUGUGAGCAAGCAUGGGGUCCAGCCACUGCACACAGCCAGGUUCCUUGAGGGCUAUGGUGGGGUGGGCAGCUCCAGGCACUGGCAUGGGCUCUGGCUCCCUGCAAGGCUGUGGCUGGACCAGGCGUAACGCUAGCAGCUUCCAUGGCUGGCACCGGAGAAACACAUUGUCACCCAGAAGCUUGGAGAUGCCAGGAACGAAAGAAUUCCAAAGAGGGUGUCACAGCCCUGGCUUGGAGAACUCCUAGGUCUGGGCUUCCUGAAGGGCUGCAGCUCUUCUCUCCUUCUUGUCCCCAGUAAUGUGGCAAGCAAGGGGUGUGUUUCAACUCUGUUGACUUCCAGGGCCACCGACAGUGCAGAGGUGGCCAGAUCCGCAGCCACAGCUUGGACGGCUGCUGCUGCACCCAGGAGGGCAGGUCUCUUGCCUGCUGUCUACCCGCAAGAGCAGAGGGAUGCCUGGGUCUGCAGGGGCAACUAGGUGCCUGCAACUGCGCCCAGGGAUCGAGAGGCUCCAUCCUGCCAGCUCGGAAGGGGGUAGGGCUUCCUCCUGUUCCUGGCUCCCACCAGCUGGGUACACAUGAAGCCCAAGCUGCACCUCCCCUACUGCUGCUGGCAUCAUGGCAGCAGCCGCGUCUGGGGCCACCACUGCCAUCACAUAGAUGCCAUAUUGCUACUCAUUGAAAUUACUAAAGAGGUGUCUUUUAAAAUACUGUUUGGCUGGUUUCUUCAUUAAAUUAUUUCUUCAAUCA
Molecule: long non-coding RNA, 1502 nt
Filed under: Homo sapiens (human)
Lineage: Eukaryota; Metazoa; Chordata; Mammalia; Primates; Hominidae
Description: HSALNT0329109
Source: RNAcentral